RNAcentral lists this ribosomal RNA (2138 nucleotides) under Plasmodium falciparum 366.1. RNAcentral describes it as "SSU rRNA". It matches the Rfam family "Eukaryotic small subunit ribosomal RNA". Lineage: Eukaryota; Apicomplexa; Aconoidasida; Haemosporida; Plasmodiidae. The record is from RNAcentral.
CCUGGUUGAUCUUGCCAGUAGUCAUAUGCUUGUCUCACAGAUUAAGCCAUGCAAGUGAAAGUACAUAUGUAAAUAAUAUAUUGAAACUGCGAACGGCUCAUUAAAACAGUUAUAAUCUACUUGAUGUUUUUAAUAUAAGGAUAACUACGGAAAAUCUGUAGCUAAUACUUGUGAAAAUACCUUUUGAUAUAUACAUAUGUAUGUAUCAUUAAGGUAUGUAUUUGUUAGAUAUAAGAAUAAAAUAAAUAUAAUUGAAUUAUAACAAAGAAGAAACACAUAAAAUAUGUGUAUUAUCAAUCGAGUAUCUGACCUAUCAGCUUUUUGAUGUUAGGGUAUUGACCUAACAUGGCUAUGACGGGUAACGGGGAAUUAGAGUUCGAUUCCGGAGAGGGAGCCUGAGAAAUAGCUACCACAUCUAAGGAAGGCAGCAGGCGCGUAAAUUACCCAAUUCUAAAAAAGAGAGGUAGUGACAAGAAAUAACAAUACAAUAUCGAAAAAUGAUUUUGUAAUUGGAAUGAUAGGAAUUUACAAGGUUCCUAGAGAAACAAUUGGAGGGCAAGUCUGGUGCCAGCAGCCGCGGUAAUUCCAGCUCCAAUAGCAUAUAUUAAAAUUGUUGCAGUUAAAACGUUCGUAGUUGAAUAUUAAAGAAUCCGAUGUUUCAUUUAAACUGGUUUGGGAAAACCAAAUGUAUUAUAUAUUUUGCUUUGUUCAAAAUAAGGUUUUCUAAUAAAUUAUGUUUUUAUCAGAUAUGACAGAAUCUUUUUUAAAAUCUCUUCAAUAUGCUUUUAUUGCUUUUGAGAGGUUUUGUUACUUUGAGUAAAAUUAAGUGUUCAUAACAGACGGGUAGUCAUGAUUGAGUUCAUUGUGUUUGAAUACUACAGCAUGGAAUAACAAAUAUGAAUAAGCUAAUUAUUUUUUUUUUUCAUAAUUUUUUUUGAUAUUCUUAUUAGCUUAGUUACGAUUAAUAGGAGUAGCUUUGGGGGCAUUCGUAUUCAGAUGUCAGAGGUGAAAUUCUAAGAUUUUCUGGAGACGGACUACUGCGAAAGCAUUUGCCUAAUCUAUUUCCAUUAAUCAAGAACGAAAGUUAAGGGAGUGAAGACGAUCAGAUACCGUCGUAAUCUUAACCAUAAACUAUACCGACUAGGUGUUGGAUGAAUAUAAAAAAUAUAUAAAUAUGUAGCAUUUCUUAGGGAAUGUUGAUUUUAUAUUAGAAUUGCUUCCUUCAGUACCUUAUGAGAAAUCAAAGUCUUUGGGUUCUGGGGCGAGUAUUCGCGCAAGCGAGAAAGUUAAAAGAAUUGACGGAAGGGCACCACCAGGCGUGGAGCUUGCGGCUUAAUUUGACUCAACACGGGAAAACUCACUAGUUUAAGACAAGAGUAGGAUUGACAGAUUAAUAGCUCUUUCUUGAUUUCUUGGAUGGUGAUGCAUGGCCGUUUUUAGUUCGUGAAUAUGAUUUGUCUGGUUAAUUCCGAUAACGAACGAGAUCUUAACCUGCUAAUUAGCGGUAAGUACACUAUAUUUUUAUUUGAAAUUGAAUAUAGGUAAUUAUACAUGUUUAUUCAGUGUUCAAAUUAGGAUAUUUUUUUAUUAAAAUAUUCUUUUCCCUGUUCUACUAUAAUAAUUUGUUUUUUUUUACUCUAUUUCUCUCUUCUUUUAAGAAUGUACUUGUUUUGAUUAAAUAAAGCUUCUUAGAGGAACAGUGUGUAUCUAACACAAGGAAGUUUAAGGCAACAACAGGUCUGUGAUGUCCUUAGAUAAACUAGGCUGCACGCGUGCUACAAUGAUAUAUAUAACAAGUUGUUAAAAAUGUACUUAUAAAUAAGUGUGUACAGUUUUUCCUGUACUGAAAAGUAUAGGUAAUCUUUAUCAGUAUAUAUCGUAAUUGGGAUAGAUUAUUGCAAUUAUUAAUCUUGAACGAGGAAUGCCUAGUAAGCAUGAUUCAUUAGAUUGUGCUGACUACGUCCCUGCCCUUUGUACACACCGCCCGUCGCUCCUACCGAUUGAAAGAUAUGAUGAAUUGUUUGGAUAUGAAUUAAAAUAAUGAAAUUUUAUAUUUCUGAUUUUUUCUAGAAGAACUGUAAAUCCUAUCUUUUAAAGGAAGGAGAAGUCGUAACAAGGUUUUCCGUAGGUGAACCUGC